Molecule: transfer RNA, 72 nt
Filed under: Pangasianodon hypophthalmus (striped catfish)
Lineage: Eukaryota; Metazoa; Chordata; Actinopteri; Siluriformes; Pangasiidae
Description: tRNA-Glu
Source: RNAcentral
UCCUUGGAGGACCAGUGGUUAGGCCACCGCACUCUCACCACCGCGGCCCAGGCUCGAUUCCCGGCCAGGGAC